CCAAUAGCGUAUAUUAAAGUUGUUGCAGUUAAAAAGCUCGUAGUUGAAUUUCGGGAUCAAUACGUCGGUCGUGCUUCGGUACGUACUGGCGUCAUUGAUUUCUCCCUUCUGACGAACCAUGAUGUCAUUAAUUUGGUGUCGUGGAGAAUCAGGACUGUUACCUUGAAAAAAUUAGAGUGUUUAUAGCAGGCUAACGCUUGAAUACAUUAGCAUGGAAUAAUGAAAUAGGACGUUCGACCCUAUUUUGUUGGUUUCUAGGAUCGACGUAAUGAUUAAUAGGGAUAGUUGGGGGCAUUAGUAUUCAAUUGUCAGAGGUGAAAUUCUUGGAUUUAUUGAAGACUAACUACUGCGAAAGCAUUUGCCAAGGAUGUUUUCAUUAAUCAAGAACGAAAGUUAGGGGAUCGAAGACGAUCAGAUACCGUCGUAGUCUUAACCAUAAACUAUGCCGACUAGGGAUCGGAUGAUGUUAAUUUUUUAAUGACUCAUUCGGCGCCUUACG
RNAcentral lists this ribosomal RNA (499 nucleotides) under uncultured Glomeromycotina. RNAcentral's name for it is "SSU rRNA". It matches the Rfam family "Eukaryotic small subunit ribosomal RNA", at positions 591 to 1092 of the family's 1831-position model. The record is from RNAcentral. Lineage: Eukaryota; Fungi; Glomeromycota.